UGGGAUAAUUUGUGCCAAAUGACAUUUAGCUUUGCAGAGUGUACAGUUCCCACAUACUGUGACCAUUAGAAAACCACUCAGUAAUUUUAAGUACUAGAUGCUUUCAGCUCUGACCCCUGGAUAACAAAAGCCAAAAGUAAAAAGAAAAUGCAUCAAGUGCUAAACAGCAGUAAGCCUAAUGACUACAUAGACCAUUAGGAAAUGGGCAAACAAAAUUAACUCUCAGUGGGAGUUUCAGGCUCUCCAAGCACAUGUCUUUGGCUUCAUUAACCUCCUGCUACAACCAGGGCCAGAGUCACUGUCAACACUGCUCUUCCUCGCAUCUUUGGUAGCCAGAGAGGGGAAUUAACUCUACGCGUGGACCUUGGGGACCUACAUGGAAAAAUGGUGAUACAGUACUAUUCCGAAUCCAUCUCUCUGAGCUUUUGAUUAAAAGAAAGCGGAGGUCAGGAAGGACCAGUUAUGCAGAGAAAGUUAACUGCCUAUUUUUUCAAUUAGCAUUUGUAUGUGUAUGUGUGUCUGUGUGCACGUGUGUAUGUAGUGCUGGCAAGUGUCAGUUUUACCUGUAUUCUCCUUUUCCUUAAAACUUUUAUUUAUCCAUGUCAACUUGGGUCACUGCAUUUCCUCUCCCUCUCCGAGGAUUGCAGACUCCUUUUUAUUCGAUAAAGAAACUACAGGUCGGGGCAUAUAGAGGGAAGUGGACCUCGUAUCUGUAACAGCAACUUGGGAUGCCCUAGUUGCCCUGGUUACGAAGGUUGGAAGCACUAGAAGAGCAAGCAGGGAACAGCAAGGCAGCCCAGAGAUGAGCAGCCUCCGGAUGACCGCCUCUCGUGGGGCUGAAGAGACAGAGGAAAGGGGUGGAGCAUCAAAGCCUGGAGCAGGGGCCACCCAGGAAGCUGGAACUGCAGCGGACAUGCCUAGAGAAAGCUGGAGGUAUGGAGCAGAGCUGCUGCUGCUGGAGUAGCCACGAAAGCUGGAUGAGUAACUUAAUAAUGACCAUACAUUCAGAACAUCGAUAAGGGGCAUCCGUUGAACGUCUGGACGACCAUCAGUUCUGGCCAAGAAGAAACUCAAGAGUUGUCUCGUUAGUGAAUCUGUGCCCAACCUUUGUGUGGGAGAUUGAGAUCAGAAAGGGAGUGACGAUUAAGAAACUCAAGGUCGGCUGAGUUAUUCUCCAGUCAUUGUCCAAAAAUGAAGGAUUCUAAUUAAAAUGCAACGUGGCAGCCUAAAGGAAUAUCGGUUCACGUGAAAUUACUAUACCAGGAGCCAGCGCAAAUUAGAAAUCCUGAUGGGGAAAGGAGAGAAGAGAAAGGAAAAUAAAGAAUGAUGUGAAAUGACAGUGUCUCCCGGAGAGCACCCAUCUCUUCAGAGUCUCUGCAGUUCUCACUCUUCUUAUGUUACACGGCUUCCUUUCUGAAGUCCCGGGGCUUCUCACUGCAAUCAUUAUAGUUACCUAUGAGUGAUGGGCUCUGCUCUCGUGGUUUCCCUCAGAACAGAACGUCUGUUCCUCCAGCAACAUGACUAAUCUCCCUCAACCCAUGACAGUGUACAGACCAGGUCACAAUAAAAGGAUGAUGUUUAAUAA
This is a long non-coding RNA of Equus quagga, 1585 nucleotides long. RefSeq lists it as uncharacterized. Lineage: Eukaryota; Metazoa; Chordata; Mammalia; Perissodactyla; Equidae. The transcript is spliced from 6 exons. The record is from RefSeq and is a predicted model, not a curated record.